GCAUACAAUUGUUUAGCAAAUAGAAAUAAGUACACAACCAUAAAGAUCAUAAACAAAGUACUAAGAAAAGCAUAUCAAAUCACUAUCACCACAUAUCCAAGUAAAUUGUUAACCUUAAAGUUUAAGUAUCCAUCCACGUUUCCUCACUUUGGACAUUGAGAUACACAUUUCUUUCCAAUCAGAAUCCUUAAACUUUUCCAAGUUUUUCCAUAGAUGUCCUCUGGAAUGUCUUAUAUCUCUUCAAGAGCAGUCACACACUUAGAAAAGAAUCAAAUGUUACACAUGAAGUAGCCUCCACACUCAUAUUCC
RNAcentral lists this long non-coding RNA (309 nucleotides) under Cicer arietinum (chickpea). RNAcentral describes it as "long non-coding RNA (CARI_LNC002869)". Lineage: Eukaryota; Viridiplantae; Streptophyta; Magnoliopsida; Fabales; Fabaceae. The record is from RNAcentral.